UGUCAUGGCGGCUGUGUGCGGGAGCACCUUCGGGUGCAUCGAGCUUUGGUAUUUCCCUCGAUCUGUCAGCCCGCACGCAGCUGCCACCCUC
RNAcentral lists this non-coding RNA (91 nucleotides) under Pseudomonas psychrophila. The record is from RNAcentral. Lineage: Bacteria; Pseudomonadati; Pseudomonadota; Gammaproteobacteria; Pseudomonadales; Pseudomonadaceae.